UGACAGAAGAGUGUGAGCAC
This 20-nucleotide microRNA is filed under the name Helianthus annuus (common sunflower). Lineage: Eukaryota; Viridiplantae; Streptophyta; Magnoliopsida; Asterales; Asteraceae. The record is from RNAcentral.